This is a long non-coding RNA of Mercurialis annua (annual mercury), 774 nucleotides long. RefSeq lists it as uncharacterized. Lineage: Eukaryota; Viridiplantae; Streptophyta; Magnoliopsida; Malpighiales; Euphorbiaceae. The record is from RefSeq and is a predicted model, not a curated record. The transcript has 3 exons.
AGGCGAUAAUUAAUAUUUUGAAUUAAGAAAAGUAGUCCGUAUAAUUUAUAAUCGAACAAAGUUUGGAAUUAGCCCGAGAAAUUUAGCGACGUGCUUAAUUAAUAAAAGAAUGAUUAAAUAGAAGGAAUUUUUAGAAUUGGGUUAAGAAAAGGAUUACAUUAAAACUAGCCCAUUUGAAUUAAAAGCCCAAGUCAUCCUUUUUGUCUAGAUACAAAAACAUUCCAGAGGAUUCUAGCUUCACCAUCUUCAUCAUUCUCUAUUCUAAGGGCAUGGCUAAGGAAGAAAAAAAUGAGUAAAGUUUUGAUUACAAGUUUCAGCAACUAAUUCUAGCAAAGGAUAAAACUCAUCAUCUAAUAUCAAUUUGGAGUUGAGACAAGAGAUCCUACGCAUAUUUGGGAUUGGAGAAAUAGAGAAUUUGGAGGUUAAACAACGGGCUAUUUUAUUGUGCUUUAUGAAAUUUGGAUUAAGCGAUCGAGUGUUUUCUUUCAGGAUUAAUACUUGAUGAUGUGGUCGAGCUUCCAACCAUUCUUCCGAAAGUCUCAAUUAUGGGGAGUCAUAUUUUUCUUAGAGCUGCAGUAGUCAAGAUAUUAGAGUUAGCUUGUAGCAAACAAUUUACGUUUAUUUUAUGCCAUGACAUAAUGAUGUAUUUUGGGAAAAUGAAUUAUCCAGGAAUUUAUUAUAUGGUUAAUUGGUAUUUUAUACAGAGUGGUUUGUGCGUUUUCACAGGUGUGGUUUAUUAAGUUUACAGGCGUUAUAUUGCCGAUUUUUCGAAAA